Molecule: ribosomal RNA, 253 nt
Filed under: uncultured bacterium
Lineage: Bacteria
Description: partial 16S ribosomal RNA
Rfam family: Bacterial small subunit ribosomal RNA
Source: RNAcentral
GACGAGGGAUCCAAGCGUUGUUCGGAAUUAUUGGGCGUAAAGCGGAUGCAUGUGGCUCUGCUAGUCAGGUGUGAAAUCCCAGGGCUCAACCCUGGAAGUGCAUUUGAUACUACAGAGCUUGAGUGCUAGAGAGGUAAGUAGAAUACCUGGUGUAGUGGUGAAAUACGUAGAUAUCAGGUGGAAUACCGGAGGCGAAGGCGGCUUACUGGCUAGACACUGACACUCAGAUCCGAAAGCGUGGGGAUCAAACAGG